GGAGUCUUCAGCCUAAACACACCUGAUCUCAUCUGAUCUUGAAAGCUAAGCAGAGUCGGGCCUGGUAGUACUUGGAUGGGAGAAAUGGGGAAACAGCAACUGAGACUCCA
RNAcentral lists this ribosomal RNA (110 nucleotides) under Erinaceus europaeus (western European hedgehog). Lineage: Eukaryota; Metazoa; Chordata; Mammalia; Eulipotyphla; Erinaceidae. The record is from RNAcentral.